UACGAAGGGUGCAAGCGUUAAUCGGAAUUACUGGGCGUAAAGCGUGCGCAGGCGGCUUUGCAAGACAGAUGUGAAAUCCCCGGGCUUAACCUGGGAACUGCAUUUGUGACUGCAUGGCUAGAGUGCGGCAGAGGGGGAUGGAAUUCCGCGUGUAGCAGUGAAAUGCGUAGAUAUGCGGAGGAACACCGAUGGCGAAGGCAAUCCCCUGGGCCUGCACUGACGCUCAUGCACGAAAGCGUGGGGAGCAAACAGG
RNAcentral lists this ribosomal RNA (253 nucleotides) under uncultured bacterium. Its description in RNAcentral is "partial 16S ribosomal RNA". It matches the Rfam family "Bacterial small subunit ribosomal RNA", at positions 524 to 776 of the family's 1533-position model. The record is from RNAcentral.